Molecule: unclassified non-coding RNA, 390 nt
Filed under: soil metagenome
Description: partial contains 5.8S ribosomal RNA, internal transcribed spacer 2, and large subunit ribosomal RNA
Rfam family: 5.8S ribosomal RNA (bases 1-121)
Source: RNAcentral
AUGAAGAACGUAGCGAAAUGCGAUACUUGGUGUGAAUUGCAGAAUCCCGUGAACCAUCGAGUCUUUGAACGCAAGUUGCGCCCGAAGCCACUAGGCCGAGGGCACGCCUGCCUGGGCGUCACACGCCGUUGCCCCCCCAUCUACUCCUUCGGGAUUGCGGGGGGGCGGAUGAUGGCCUCCUGUGCGCCUAGCCGCGCGGUUGGCAUAAAUACCAAGUCCUCGGCGACGCACGCCACGACAAUCGGUGGUUGCGAAACCUCGGUUGCCCGUCGUGUGCGUUCGUCGCGCAUCGAGGGCUCGAAAAAAUGCUCGGCUCCGGCUGGGCUUUCAACGCGACCCCAGGUCAGGCGGGGUUACCCGCUGAAUUUAAGCAUAUCAAUAAGCGGAGGA